Solanum lycopersicum (tomato) is the source of this 1787-nucleotide long non-coding RNA. RefSeq lists it as uncharacterized. The record is from RefSeq and is a predicted model, not a curated record. NCBI's taxonomy places the organism in Eukaryota, Viridiplantae, Streptophyta, Magnoliopsida, Solanales, Solanaceae.
UCUCCAUCUCAGCUCCUAUUUUCUUAGCUUAAGCCGUCUCAGUUCCGUCGUCUCAGCUCCCGUCGUCUCAGCUCUCCGUCUCCGUCAUCCUUAUAUGAGAAAUGUUUCCACUCUUCUGCUGCUUCAAGUGAAAGUUAAUUUCUCUUUUUCAUAUAUGUUCAUCUCCUCUAGAAUAUUGUGCUAUGGUUUUGUGAUCUCUUGAAAGGUGUGGAAGUGGUAUUUGCAAAAGAAAAAUAUUUUUUUUUCAUUUUAGCUGAAAUUCUUACCAUUUGAGAUUGAGUUUUAUUUGGUGAUUCUUCUUAUAAAAUAUAUUUAUGUUCAUCUACUCUAUACGGAUAAAUAGCUAACCCAACUAGAAGCUAUCUCAAUUAAGCUGCGAAUGAUAUGUGGUUGAUGUUGAUUAAUUGAUUGAUGAACCUUCAUGUUUCAGCCCUUUUCUUGCUUUCUCUCUUCGAGUUGAGUUGUUCCAUUCCAUAGUGUAGUGUAAUUUUUAUCUCCAUAUUUUUGAAUUGAUGACAACUAAUGUGUGCAAAAAAAUACUGAGAGUUUUUUCCGAUGAAAUAUCUUAUGAAUCAUGUUAAAUGGACUCAUUCACAUGAUAUAUCCAAUAUGUAUGUAAAAGCAUACACAAGGGAAAAAUAUCACACUAUGAAAAAAAAUUUACUUGCUUUUUUUUGUGAUAGUCAUUUGAUACUCUUCUUUCAUUCUUAUAAAACAUGAUAUUAUGUGGGUAUGACUGUAUUUUGUUCUGAUAUUGGAUAAGUAUCUCCAUGCCUAUUGUGUUUGUAGUUCAACAUCACUGAAAGUUUCUUUAUUUAGACAUGGUAGUACAUUUUUUAGGAAGCCAACUACACUCUUAUAUCUUCUUAUAGAUAUGGAUCGAGGCAGAGCUCAUGGGAAGUUCUUUGGUAGGAGUAGUCCUGAGAUUCAUGUAAGCAUGCCAACUAUUCCUAUGCCACUAUAGUUUCUCCUCAACAAGGUGGUACCCCAACUGUUGAAACAUUAGGUCAAAGUAACAUCCCAACUAUCUCAGAGGCACCUCCAAUUACCCCAAAAUAAUGUCUUCAAAUUGACACAACUUGGAACCUUCUAUAAUAUUCUCUAGUUUCAUAACCAAGUCUUUCAGGAACGAUGUUGAUCCUAUAGAGUCAAUUGGAAAAGUGUUUCAAACAAUGUAAAAGAUGGUUACUUUGGAGAAUUUAAGAAAAAAUCGAUUGGGACAUUUUUAUUAGUGAAAGUGAAGUGAAGAGACAUUGGUUGGUCAAGGCGGUCGUAAAAUACAGAAAUUUUAUCUCUAAAAUACAAUGGGGAGGAGUUAGGCCAGGUUUCGUACCUGAGCAUUUUUGGGAAAAAUGGACACAACUUUGGGGAAGUGAGGAGUCUAUUAAAAAGUUAUAAACAAAUGCAAAGAAUCGUUGUGAUAGUCAUGAAGUUGCUGCUGGGACUCACACAGGUGGCGCUAUCUCAAUUGGAGAACAUCACAAUAAACUUGGCAAUUGAAAUGGUUCAAGAUCUAACAUUAAGUGACUUACAUUUGCACGCACAUCCAUAUGCAUGUUCAUGAUGGAAAAUUUUUUGUUGGUGAACACUCUCGAAUUGUCCAUGUUUAUCAUAAUCCUCUGCAGACUCUUGCAAAGUAGACUUCAUGUAAUCUUGGUUCUUGGCAUCCUCUUUUCUUUUUCAUUUCUUUCUCAAUUUUCUUCCCUAUUUUCUUGUUAGUUUAUUGAUUAAAUUAUCAGGAAAUGGAACAAACUGUAGUGUCACUGUCAUGUAAUACAGAAAAUAUA